AUGAAAUCCCAAAUGACGCUUUCCCAUUUUUUUUGUUGUUGAUUGAUGUGAGGGAUUGAUUAACAGAGAAGAUUACAUCAGAAAAUUUGAGAUAUAUUUACGCGGAAAACUUCUCAAAAUAAAUUGGAGAAAUGAGUGAAUAAAAAAUACUAUUCACAUAAUGGAGAUGUUUAUUUUCGACUUUUGAUGACUGGAAAAUUAAUUUCAAUUAAUGGAAUAAUUAAUGUUAAUAAAAAUAUUGAUUCACAUUAAGCAUAUAAGAGCAUAAUUAAAUAAGAAUGGUCAUUUCUCACGCAAGAAAUGAAAAAAUUUCGUAAAAGGGCUUUGAGAAGCAUUCGAAAGAUAUUUUCAAGGUCCUAAAUGUAUUAUAAGUGACAAAAAUCUACGUCAUGAUACAAAAAAUGAAAAACGUAGAAAUAGAUGAGUAGUUUUACACGUUUGAACUUGUUCUUUUUCUAUUCUUGAUAGCUCUUGCCAGAGAAAAAGGAGGUAAGAUGAAGGUCUCGUAGCUACUGUGUAGGGAUACCACUACUACAUACAUCCAUUUAAUAUACUACGUCGUACAGAUUAGUGGGCUUGAUUUUACUGUAUAGUAGAAAACGAUAAAUACAUUGAUGAAAUGUUGUGGUAUACACAUAGAGAUAGGUUAAAAACUCAUACUAAUUUCGUUCCUUCUCUUUCUAAGUCAUGACUUAAGCAUAUGUUCGUGUUGUAGCACGUUUCAAACACGUUUCUUUAUUCAAUUUAAUGCGUUUACCAAUAAUCAAUUUCAUAUGAGAGUAGGAAUGGAUGUUUUGUUCUUUGUUAAAAGUUACUCAGUAUUUUUUUCACAGUCUCUAUGAAUAUAUGAGAUUUAUUUUCUUCGAUUUUUAAUAAACUUUGAGAUGAUGAUGAAAUUCAUGGGACUUUUUUCGAGGACAAUAAACUUCUAGAAGAAAAAUAAGUUACAGUAUUCAUUAUGUGGAAGAAAGAAAAAAUAUUACUUAAUAUAUAAGCCUUAUAGUUAGCUCAUUGAUGUUAUUAUUUAUAAAAAAAAGUUUUUUAUUGUGUAUGAGUCAUCUUGGAAGAUUUUGUGAUAUAGAUUAAAAGAAUAACAUUGAAAACAUUAAUUGUAGUUCCAAAGUUAGUUAGAAAAAUAAUUCAUUAAC
Molecule: long non-coding RNA, 1148 nt
Organism: Chelonus insularis
Lineage: Eukaryota; Metazoa; Arthropoda; Insecta; Hymenoptera; Braconidae
Exons: 3
Source: RefSeq, a predicted model, not a curated record